GAUGAACGCUGGCGGUGUGCCUAAUACAUGCAAGUCGAACGGGGAUUUCAGCAAUGGGAUCCUAGUGGCGAACGGGUGAGUAACGCGUUGGUGACCUGCCCCGAAGAGAGGGAUAACAGACCGAAAGGUUUGCUAAUACCGCAUAAGCUCGAGCUAGUCAGAGAGGCUUGAGGAAAGGCCGAAAGGCGCUUUGGGAGGGGCCUGCGUCCCAUCAGCUAGUUGGCGAGGUAAGAGCUCACCAAGGCGAUGACGGGUAGGGGACCUGAGAGGGUGACCCCCCACAAUGGAACUGAAACACGGUCCAUACACCUACGGGUGGCAGCAGUAGGGAAUAUUGGUUAAUGGGCGAAAGCCUGACCCAGCAACGCCGCGUGCGCGAUGAAGGCCUUCGGGUUGUAAAGCGCUUUUAAGUGGGAUGAGGAAGGACAGUACCACUAGAAUAAGUCUCGGCUAACUACGUGCCAGCAGCCGCGGUAACACGUAGGAGACGAGCGUUAUCCGGAUUUACUGGGUGUAAAGCGCGUGCAGGCGGUAUGGAAAGUUGGAUGUGAAAGCUCCCGGCUUAACUGGGAGAGGUCGUUCAAAACUACCAAACUAGAGUACAGCAGAGGGGAGUGGAAUUCCGAGUGUAGCGGUAAAAUGCAUAGAUAUUCGGAAGAACACCAGUGGCGAAGGCGGCUCCCUGGGCUGAAACUGACGCUCAGACGCGAAAGCUAGGGUAGCGAACGGGAUUAGAGACCCCGGUAGUCCUAGCCGUAAACGAUGUAGACUUGGCGUCGGUGGGUUCAAAGCCAUCGGUGCCGAAGCUAACGCGAUAAGUCUACCGCCUGGGGACUACGGCCGCAAGGUUAAAACUCAAAGGAAUUGACGGGGGCCCGCACAAGCAGCGGAGCGUGUGGUUUAAUUCGAUGCUACACGAAGAACCUUACCCGGGUUUGACAUGUGGGUGGUAGGGAUCCGAAAGGUGACCGACCCCUCGGGGAGCCCUCACAGGUGCUGCAUGGCUGUCGUCAGCUCGUGUCGUGAGAUGUUCGGUUAAGUCCGCUAACGAGCGCAACCCUCGCCGUAUGUUAUACGUGUCAUACGGGACCGCCGGUAUCAAGCCGGAGGAAGGUGGGGAUGACGUCAAGUCAGCAUGGCCUUUAUGUCCGGGGCUACACACACGCUACAAUGGCCGGUACAAUGGGUUGCUAAGCCGCGAGGUAGAGCCAAUCCCCAAAGCCGGUCUCAGUUCAGAUCACAGGCUGAAACCCGCCUGUGUGAAGUCGGAGUUGCUAGUAAACGCGCGUCAGCCAUAGUGCGUUGAAUACGUUCUCGGGCCUUGUACACACCGCCCGUCACGUCAUGGGAGCUGGUAACACCUGAAGCCGGUAGCCUAACCGCAAGGAGGGCGCCGUCGAAGGUGGUGCUGGUGACUGGGACG
RNAcentral lists this ribosomal RNA (1423 nucleotides) under uncultured bacterium. Its description in RNAcentral is "bacterial SSU rRNA". It matches the Rfam family "Bacterial small subunit ribosomal RNA". The record is from RNAcentral.